This 379-nucleotide ribosomal RNA is filed under the name uncultured Pseudomonas sp. RNAcentral's name for it is "bacterial SSU rRNA". It matches the Rfam family "Bacterial small subunit ribosomal RNA", at positions 1005 to 1382 of the family's 1533-position model. The record is from RNAcentral. Lineage: Bacteria; Pseudomonadati; Pseudomonadota; Gammaproteobacteria; Pseudomonadales; Pseudomonadaceae.
GAUGGAUUGGUGCCUUCGGGAACUCUGACACAGGUGCUGCAUGGCUGGUCGUCAGCUCGUGUCGUGAGAUGUUGGGUUAAGUCCCGUAACGAGCGCAACCCUUGUCCUUAGUUACCAGCACGUUAUGGUGGGCACUCUAAGGAGACUGCCGGUGACAAACCGGAGGAAGGUGGGGAUGACGUCAAGUCAUCAUGGCCCUUACGGCCUGGGCUACACACGUGCUACAAUGGUCGGUACAAAGGGUUGCCAAGCCGCGAGGUGGAGCUAAUCCCAUAAAACCGAUCGUAGUCCGGAUCGCAGUCUGCAACUCGACUGCGUGAAGUCGGAAUCGCUAGUAAUCGUGAAUCAGAAUGUCACGGUGAAUACGUUCCCGGGCCUU